Choloepus didactylus (southern two-toed sloth) is the source of this 320-nucleotide long non-coding RNA. RefSeq lists it as uncharacterized. NCBI's taxonomy places the organism in Eukaryota, Metazoa, Chordata, Mammalia, Pilosa, Megalonychidae. The transcript has 3 exons. The record is from RefSeq and is a predicted model, not a curated record.
UGCGGCUCAGCUCUGGGCCCUGUGCAUCCUGCCCCAGCAACAACCACCAUCGCAUUCUGGGAAAAGUUUCUGAUCCCUUACCUGGACCUUUCUGGCCACAUUGAAGAAGAUACUUGGAGAUCUUCUGUAACUUCAGUGUGGCAUUCCUGAUUCAUCACUGUAGCUUCCGCAUUUCCUCUGUGCUCCUUUUAAAGGUUCCUGAGCCCUGAGGACGAAUAGGCCAUGUAAGUUUUGCCGUGUAGGCCAAUUCUGUUGGACUAAUCGUGGCUUCUUAAAAUAUUCUGUUAGGAAGGAUUCGGGGGUGCUGUUGGCACAGCAGA